GACGAACGCUGGCGGCGUGCUUAACACAUGCAAGUCGAACGGAAAGGCCCUGCUUUUGUGGGGUGCUCGAGUGGCGAACGGGUGAGUAACACGUGAGUAACCUGCCCUUGACUUUGGGAUAACUUCAGGAAACUGGGGCUAAUACCGGAUAGGAGCUCCUGCUGCAUGGUGGGGGUUGGAAAGUUUCGGCGGUUGGGGAUGGACUCGCGGCUUAUCAGCUUGUUUGUGGGGUAGUGGCUUACCAAGGCUUUGACGGGUAGCCGGCAUGGGAGGGGAGCCGGCCACAUUGGGACUGAGAUACGGCCCAGACUCCUACGGGAGGCAGCGGUGGGGAAUAUUGCACAAUGGGCGGAAGCCUGAUGCAGCAACGCCGCGUGCGGGAUGACGGCCUUCGGGUUGUAAACCGCUUUCGCCUGUGACGAAGCGUGAGUGACGGUAAUGGGUAAAGAAGCACCGGCUAACUACGUG
Molecule: ribosomal RNA, 468 nt
Filed under: uncultured bacterium
Lineage: Bacteria
Description: partial 16S ribosomal RNA
Rfam family: Bacterial small subunit ribosomal RNA
Source: RNAcentral